AUUGAACGCUGGCGGCAUGCCUUACACAUGCAAGUCGAACGGCAGCACGGGUGCUUGCAGCUGGUGGCGAGUGGCGAACGGGUGAGUAAUACAUCGGAACCUGUACUGUAGUGGGGGAUAGCCCGGCGAAAGCCGGAUUAAUACCGUAAACGCACCACGGAUGAAAGCGGAGGACGUUCGGGCCUCGCGCUAUAGGGUUGGCCGAUGGCUGAUUAGCUAGUUGGUGGGGUAAAGGCCUACCAAGGCGACGAUCAGUAGCUGGUCUGAGAGGACGACCAGCCACACUGGGACUGAGACACGGCCCAGACUCCUACGGGAGGCAGCAGUGGGGAAUUUUGGACAAUGGGCGAAAGCCUGAUCCAGCAAUGCCGCGUGUGUGAAGAAGGCCUUCGGGUUGUAAAGCACUUUUGUCCGGAAAGAAAUCCUUGACGCUAAUACAGUCGUGUGAUGACGGUACCGGAAGAAUAAGCACCGGCUAACUACGUG
This 486-nucleotide ribosomal RNA is filed under the name uncultured bacterium. RNAcentral's name for it is "partial 16S ribosomal RNA". It matches the Rfam family "Bacterial small subunit ribosomal RNA", at positions 30 to 507 of the family's 1533-position model. The record is from RNAcentral.